AGUGAACGCUGGCGGUAGGCCUAACACAUGCAGGUCGAACGGCAGCACAGGAGAGCUUGCUCUCUGGGUGGCGAGUGGCGGACGGGUGAGGAAUACAUCGGAAUCUACACUGUCGUGGGGGAUAACGUAGGGAAACUUACGCUAAUACCGCAUACGACCUACGGGUGAAAGCAGGGGACCUUCGGGCCUUGCGCGAUUGAAUGAGCCGAUGUCGGAUUAGCUAGUUGGCGGGGUAAGGGCCCACCAAGGCGACGAUCCGUAGCUGGUCUGAGAGGAUGAUCAGCCACACUGGAACUGAGACACGGUCCAGACUCCUACGGGAGGCAGCAGUGGGGAAUAUUGGACAAUGGGCGCAAGCCUGAUCCAGCCAUACCGCGUGGGUGAAGAAGGCCUUCGGGUUGUAAAGCCCUUUUGUUGGGAAAGAAAUCCAGCUGGCUAAUACCCGGUUGGGAUGACGGUACCCAAAGAAUAAGCACCGGCUAACUUCGUGCCAGCCGCCGCCGUAA
RNAcentral lists this ribosomal RNA (506 nucleotides) under uncultured bacterium. RNAcentral's name for it is "partial 16S ribosomal RNA". It matches the Rfam family "Bacterial small subunit ribosomal RNA", at positions 29 to 523 of the family's 1533-position model. The record is from RNAcentral.